CCUACGGGAGGCAGCAGUAGGGAAUAUUGCUCAAUGGGCGAAACCCUGAAGCAGCAACGCCGCGUGGAGGAUGAAGGUCUUCGGAUUGUAAACUCCUUUUGUUAGAGAAGAUAAUGACGGUAUCUAACUAUUAACCACCGGCCAACUCCGUGCCAGCAGCCGCGGUAAGACGGCGGGUGCAAGCGUUACUCGGAAUCACUGGGAGUAAAGAGCGCGUAGGCGGGAUAGCAAGUCAGAUGUGAAAUCCUAUGGCUUAACCGUAGAACUGCAGUUGAAACUGGUAUUCUAGAGUAUGGGAGAGGUAGGUGGAAUUCGUGGUGUAGGGGUGAAAUGCGUAGAGAUCAAGAGGAAUACUCAUUGCGAAGGCGACCUGCUAGAACGUAACUGACGCUGAUGCGCGAAAGCGUGGGGAGCAAACAGGAGUAGAUACCCUAGUAGUC
This 440-nucleotide ribosomal RNA is filed under the name uncultured bacterium. RNAcentral describes it as "partial 16S ribosomal RNA". It matches the Rfam family "Bacterial small subunit ribosomal RNA", at positions 338 to 795 of the family's 1533-position model. The record is from RNAcentral.